This is a long non-coding RNA of Carya illinoinensis, 1422 nucleotides long. RefSeq lists it as uncharacterized. The transcript has 2 exons. The record is from RefSeq and is a predicted model, not a curated record. NCBI's taxonomy places the organism in Eukaryota, Viridiplantae, Streptophyta, Magnoliopsida, Fagales, Juglandaceae.
ACGAAACGGUGCGUUUGUUUUUGUUCUCUUCUCCUCCCCCUAUUUUUGUUUUCUCCUCCGGACCUCCUCGCCAUCUGCAACAAUCCCUAACCCUAGCCCCUCCCUAACCCGUCGCAGUCCCUCCCAAACAUGUAAAUUUUUCACGAUCUGACUUUCUCUCGACAAAGACUGUAGCCUUGUAUCUGGUAUUCCACUUCCUAUUUUUCUAGUAUUUGGUAUUUCACUUCUUAUUUUUCUUUGGAUAUUCUAUUGUUUUGGUUUGGGUUACUUUCUUGCUUUCAAUUCUGCAAGUUUUGAGAAACCGAGAGUAAUGAGUGGUAGUUUGUGACGACGUUGGAGGGUGAAGAACCUGGUACUGUUGUUUUUUGUAAACUAGAUCAACAUGUGAAAUAUUUCAGCAUAUUGUUUUACAGCGGUAAAACAAUUGUGCAUUAUCCAUCAAUGUGUGAAUUUGACAAGAUUUAACUCAGAGAACUGAGUUUUGUGCCACCUGAUGGAGAAAAUUCAGCUUUGACCUACGACGAUGUCUUUUCCACCCUUCUAAAAUUUGUUCAUCUGUAAAUAUUGAGUUUCGUAGAAAACAAUGCAUUAACCCACCAGCCUCUGUUUCAAAAGCAUAUCCAACUUGCACCCAUUUUGAUUUAAAAAGCUGCACAUCUACUCCUUUAUUUUCUUGGGGAAUGGAUUCAAACAUCAAUGACAGCUUGGAAAAGCAACUUGUAAAACAUUCUAUUCAUUUAGCACUCUUGUCUUGUCAAUAUUUUAUCAUUUAUCAAUCCAGAGUUUCUUGGAUUUGCCUCUGUUUCCUCGUCUUCUAUGGACAAUAUUUGUUUUCCUUGAGCUGAGAACCUGGUACUGGUGUUUUCUGUAAACUAGAUGGACCGGGACCUGUUAUGGUGCUUGCCAAGUUCGGGAAGAAGUUUUGCAGAAUCUUUGAGCCGGAUAUUUGUUUUAGGAAAUAAUGCUGUUGAAAACGAUGCCAUUUGUUCUUUGAAUCCUGAAGUUUGACAUUAUGAAUGAUGUGUCGAGACCUUGCGAAGGAUUUUUAGGGCACAUAGAAAAUUGGCAAGAGCCAGAUAAUUAAAUGUUCGUACUGUGGGCAAGGAGAAGCAAAAUGUAAAUUUUUCAUUUAGGUGGAUAUACUUCACUUGCUAGAGGAGAACACUCGUACAAGAGAGAAUAAAGUUUGGAAGAUGUGGGAUGAUGUACUCACGCUCGAGUUGGAAGUUCGAAAAAUGGAAAAUAAAGUACGAGAAAGAGAGAGAGAGAGAACUCUUCAGAAGGAAAAUCGAAAAUUAUUAUGUUUGUACUAGGUUGUCAUAUUUGUAAUAGUUUUGGUUUGAUUCGAAUAAAUUAUUUGUAAAUAUAACGUUGUAUGGAGUAGAUAUCUUUUAAUGUAUCAGCUGUAAUGAUACUUCUCAA